RNAcentral lists this ribosomal RNA (516 nucleotides) under uncultured bacterium. RNAcentral describes it as "bacterial SSU rRNA". It matches the Rfam family "Bacterial small subunit ribosomal RNA", at positions 32 to 518 of the family's 1533-position model. The record is from RNAcentral.
GACGCUGGCGGCGUGCCUAAUACAUGCAAGUCGAACGGUCUUUCUAUGGAAGCUUGCUUCCACUGAGAAGAUAGUGGCGAACGGGUGAGUAACACGUGGGGUAACCUGCCCAUAAGAGGGGGAUAACAUCCGGAAACGGGUGCUAAUACCGCAUAGUUUUCUUGAUCGCAUGAUCGGGAAAGGAAAGACGGCCUUUGUGCUGUCGCUUAUGGAUGGACCCGCGGCGUAUUAGUUAGUUGGUGAGGUAACGGCUCACCAAGACGAUGAUACGUAGCCGACCUGAGAGGGUGAUCGGCCACAUUGGGACUGAGACACGGCCCAAACUCCUACGGGAGGCAGCAGUAGGGAAUCUUCCGCAAUGGACGAAAGUCUGACGGAGCAACGCCGCGUGAGUGAAGAAAAGGGUUUUCGGAUCGUAAAACUCUGUUGUCAGAGAAGAACAAGUUGGAGAGUAACUGCUCCAGCCUUGACGGUAUCUGACCAGAAAGCCACGGCUAACUACGUGCCAGCCGCGGC